UGGGGGAUAUUGCACAAUGGGCGAAAGCCUGAUGCAGCGACGCCGCGUGGGGGAUGAAGGCCUUCGGGUUGUAAACUUCUUUUGCUCUGAACAAGGCAUGCCUUUGGGGUGUGUUGAGUGUAGGGGUUGAUUAGCGCCGGCUAACUACGUGCCAGCAGCCGCGGUAAUACGUAGGGCGCGAGCGUUGUCCGGAAUUAUUGGGCGUAAAGGGCUGGUAGGUGGCUGGUUGCGUCUGUCGUGAAAGCUCAUGGCUUAACUGUGGGUUUGCGGUGGGUACGGGCUGGCUUGAGUGCAGUAGGGGAGGCUGGAAUUCCUGGUGUAGCGGUGGAAUGCGCAGAUAUCAGGAGGAAUACCGGUGGCGAAGGCGGGUCUCUGGGCUGUUACUGACGCUGAGGAGCGAAAGCGUGGGGAGCGAACAGG
RNAcentral lists this ribosomal RNA (420 nucleotides) under Fusobacteriota bacterium. RNAcentral describes it as "Fusobacteria bacterium partial 16S ribosomal RNA". It matches the Rfam family "Bacterial small subunit ribosomal RNA", at positions 355 to 776 of the family's 1533-position model. Lineage: Bacteria; Fusobacteriati; Fusobacteriota. The record is from RNAcentral.